Molecule: ribosomal RNA, 465 nt
Filed under: uncultured bacterium
Lineage: Bacteria
Description: partial 16S ribosomal RNA
Rfam family: Bacterial small subunit ribosomal RNA
Source: RNAcentral
GACGAACGCUGGCGGCGUGCUUAACACAUGCAAGUCGAACGGAAAGGCCCUGCUUGCCGGGUACUCGAGUGGCGAACGGGUGAGUAACACGUGGGUGAUCUGCCCUGCACUUCGGGAUAAGCCUGGGAAACUGGGUCUAAUACCGGAUAGGAGCCAUUUUUAGUGUGAUGGUUGGAAAGUUUUUUCGGUGUAGGAUGAGCUCGCGGCCUAUCAGCUUGUUGGUGGGGUAAUGGCCUACCAAGGCGGCGACGGGUAGCCGGCCUGAGAGGGUGGACGGCCACAUUGGGACUGAGAUACGGCCCAGACUCCUACGGGAGGCAGCAGUGGGGAAUAUUGCACAAUGGGCGCAAGCCUGAUGCGGCGACGCCGCGUGGGGGAUGACGGCCUUCGGGUUGUAAACUCCUUUCGCUAGGGACGAAGCUUUUUGUGACGGUACCUAGAUAAGAAGCACCGGCUAACUACGUG